This 493-nucleotide ribosomal RNA is filed under the name uncultured bacterium. RNAcentral describes it as "bacterial SSU rRNA". It matches the Rfam family "Bacterial small subunit ribosomal RNA", at positions 29 to 518 of the family's 1533-position model. The record is from RNAcentral.
AUGAACGCUAGCGACAGGCCUAACACAUGCAAGUCAGGGGCAGCACAAGGAGCAAUCUGAGGUGGCGACCGGCGCACGGGUGAGUAACACGUAUGCAACCUGCCUGUAAGCGGGGAAUAACCCGUUGAAAGACGGACUAAUACCGCAUAAUACUAAAUUACUGCAUGGUAAUUUAUUUAAACAUUUAUGGCUUACAGAUGGGCAUGCGCAUGAUUAGCUAGUUGGAGAGGUAACGGCUUCCCAAGGCAACGAUCAUUAGGGGUUCUGAGAGGAAGGUCCCCCACACUGGUACUGAGACACGGACCAGACUCCUACGGGAGGCAGCAGUGAGGAAUAUUGGUCAAUGGACGAGAGUCUGAACCAGCCAAGUCGCGUGCAGGAAGAAUGUCCUAUGGAUUGUAAACUGCUUUUGCAGAGGAAUAAAGUGCAUCACGUGUGAUGUUUUGUAUGUACUCUGCGAAUAAGGAUCGGCUAACUCCGUGCCAGCCGCAGC